GUUAUCACUCAGGGUAUUUUGGGCCCCCAGGUUCAUGGACCCCUGCAGGGCUGCGGUUCACCGGGAUGACAGGCCCUCAGCCCAUCAUGUGCAAGAACGGUGGUCAAGGGAGCAUGGUGUGAACACUGCUGAAUCCUGGAAGGAUGGAGAGACAGAUGAACAAUGGCUCAUCGGCGACACCUGGAGCCGAUUAAGGGGGCAUGGCAUAAGAGGGCAUCCCGGAGACCACACCGUGCGGAUCCUCCUUGGAGCAACAGCAGUGUCUGUCCUUUGGUUUCUUCUGAUGUACUUAUCUUUCCUGGUUUUGACUCUUGCUUUCUGUUUUGCCCAACUAUGUCCCUGUCCCAUUCCCUGGAUAACAUUUGCUGUUCGCUUGACCUGUGCCUGUCCCUGGAUUUUGCUUCUGACUACCCCUUUGGAUUUUGUUGCCCUUCGAAUGAAAGACGAGCACGCACUUGAGUCCGU
This is a long non-coding RNA of Scleropages formosus (Asian bonytongue), 465 nucleotides long. RefSeq lists it as uncharacterized. The transcript has 3 exons. NCBI's taxonomy places the organism in Eukaryota, Metazoa, Chordata, Actinopteri, Osteoglossiformes, Osteoglossidae. The record is from RefSeq and is a predicted model, not a curated record.